UACGUAGGGGGCAAGCGUUGUCCGGAAUUAUUGGGCGUAAAGAGCGCGUAGGCGGUCCGGUAAGUCGGUUGUGAAAGUCGGGGGCUCAACCCUCGGAUGCCGAUCGAUACUGUCGGGCUAGAGUCCGGAAGAGGCGAGUGGAAUUCCUGGUGUAGCGGUGAGAUGCGCAGAUAUCAGGAGGAACACCAAUGGCGAAGGCAGUUCUCUGGGACGGUACUGACGCUGAGACGCGAAAGCGUGGGGAGCGAACAGG
RNAcentral lists this ribosomal RNA (253 nucleotides) under uncultured bacterium. RNAcentral's name for it is "partial 16S ribosomal RNA". It matches the Rfam family "Bacterial small subunit ribosomal RNA", at positions 524 to 776 of the family's 1533-position model. The record is from RNAcentral.